CGCCGUGUAAAGCCCCUUCGACGAGUCGAGUUGUUUGGGAAUGCAGCUCUAAAUGGGAGGUAAAUUUCUUCUAAAGCUAAAUACUGGCCAGAGACCGAUAGCGCACAAGUAGAGUGAUCGAAAGAUGAAAAGCACUUUGGAAAGAGAGUCAAAUAGCACGUGAAAUUGUUGAAAGGGAAGCGCUUGCAGCCAGACUUGCCUGUAGUUGCUCAUCUGGGCUUUUGCCCGGUGCAUUCUUCUGCAGGCAGGCCAGCAUCAGUUUGGGCGGUUGGAUAAAGGUCUCUGUCAUGUACCUCUCUUCGGGGAGGCCUUAUAGGGGAGACGUCAUGCAACCAGCCUGGACUGAGGUCCGCGCAUUUGCUAGGAUGCUGGCGUAAUGGCUGUAAGCGGCCCGUCUUGAAACACGGACCAAGGAGUCUAACAUCUAUGCGAGUGUUUGGGUGUCAAGCCCGAGCGCGUAAUGAAAGUGAACGGAGGUGGGAACCCUUUGGGUGCACCAUCGACCGAUCCUGAUGUCUUCGGAAGGAUUUGAGUA
Molecule: ribosomal RNA, 535 nt
Filed under: Sphaerellopsis paraphysata
Lineage: Eukaryota; Fungi; Ascomycota; Dothideomycetes; Pleosporales; Leptosphaeriaceae
Description: partial large subunit ribosomal RNA
Rfam family: Eukaryotic large subunit ribosomal RNA
Source: RNAcentral